Molecule: ribosomal RNA, 500 nt
Filed under: uncultured bacterium
Lineage: Bacteria
Description: bacterial SSU rRNA
Rfam family: Bacterial small subunit ribosomal RNA
Source: RNAcentral
AGUGAACGCUGGCGGCAGGCCUAAUACAUGCAAGUCGAACGGCAGCACAGCAGAGCUUGCUCUGUGGGUGGCGAGUGGCGGACGGGUGAGGAAUACAUGGGAAUCUGCCCAGUCGUGGGGAUAACGUAGGGAAACUUACGCUAAUACCGCAUGCGCCCUUCGGGGGAAAGCCGGGGACCUUCGGGCCUGGCGCGAUUGGAUGAGCCCAUGUCGGAUUAGCUAGUUGGCGGGGUAAUGGCCCACCAAGGCGACGAUCCGUAGAUGGUCUGAGAGGAUGAUCAGCCACACUGGAACUGAGACACGGUCCAGACUCCUACGGGAGGCAGCAGUAGGGAAUAUUGGGACAAUGGGCGCAAGCCUGAUCCAGCCAUGCCGCGUGAGUGAAGAAGGCCCUCGGGUUGUAAAGCUCUUUUGUCCGGAAAGAAAAGACGCCGGGUUAAUACCCUGGUGUCCUGACGGUACCGAAGAAUAAGCACCGGCUAACUUCGUGCCAGCAGCCG